This 872-nucleotide ribosomal RNA is filed under the name uncultured archaeon. RNAcentral's name for it is "bacterial SSU rRNA". It matches the Rfam family "Archaeal small subunit ribosomal RNA", at positions 1 to 879 of the family's 1478-position model. The record is from RNAcentral.
UUCCGGUUGAUCCUGCCGGAGGUCACUGCUAUUGGGAUUCGACUAAGCCAUGCGAGUCGAGAGGGUUCGGCCCUCGGCAGACGGCUCAGUAACACGUGGAUAAUCUGCCCUUAGGUGGAGGAUAACCUCGGGAAACUGAGAAUAAUACUCCAUAGAUCUAGGAUGCUGGAAUGCACUUAGAUUGAAAGUUCCGACGCCUAAGGAUGAGUCUGCGGACUAUCAGGUAGUAGUCAGGGUAAAGGCCUGACUAGCCUACAACGGAUACGGGUUGUGAGAGCAAUAACCCGGAGACGAUAUCUGAGACACGAUAUCGGGCCCUACGGGGCGCAGCAGGCGCGAAACCUUCACAAUGUGCGAAAGCACGAUGAGGGAAUCCCAAGUGCUUGCUCGUAAGAGUAAGCUGUUUUUAUGUCUAAAAAGCAUAGAGAGUAAGGGCUGGGUAAGACGGGUGCCAGCCGCCGCGGUAAUACCUGCAGCUCAAGUGGUGACCGCUAUUAUUGGGCCUAAAACGUUCGUAGCCGGUUUGGUAAUUGCCUGGGUAAAUCGUGUAGCUUAACUAUACGAAUUCCGGAUAGACUGCCAAACUUGAGACCGGGAGAAGCUAGAGGUACUCCUGGGGUAGAGGUGAAAUUCUGUAAUCCUGGGGGGACCACCAGUGGCGAAGGCGUCUAGCUAGAACGGGUCUGACGGUGAGGAACGAAGCCCUGGGGCGCAAACCGGAUUAGAUACCCGGGUAGUCCAGGGUGUAAACGCUGCUUGCUUGAUGUUAGUUGGGCUCCGAGCCCAAUUAGUGUCGGAGAGAAGUUGUUAAGCAAGCUGCCUGGGAAGUACGAUCGCAAGAUUGAAACUUAAAGGAAUUGGCGGGGGAGCAC